This 150-nucleotide small nuclear RNA is filed under the name Mus musculus (house mouse). It matches the Rfam family "U12 minor spliceosomal RNA". Rfam says of the family: Although the U12 sequence is very divergent from that of U2, the two are functionally analogous. Lineage: Eukaryota; Metazoa; Chordata; Mammalia; Rodentia; Muridae. The record is from RNAcentral.
NUGCCUUAAACUUAUGAGUAAGGAAAAUAACGAUUCGGGGUGACGCCCGAGUCCUCACUGCUUAUGUGAGAAGAAUUUUUGAGCGGGUAUAGGUUGCAAUCUGAGCGACCCGCCUACUUUGCGGGAUGCCUGGGUGACGCGAUCUGCCCG